Small nuclear RNA from Pseudophryne corroboree (corroboree frog), 193 nucleotides. RefSeq annotates it as U2 spliceosomal RNA. The record is from RefSeq and is a predicted model, not a curated record. The transcript has a single exon. Lineage: Eukaryota; Metazoa; Chordata; Amphibia; Anura; Myobatrachidae.
AUCACUACUUGACCUUUUGGCUAGGAUCAAGUGUGUAGUAUCUGUUCUUAUCAGUUUAAUAUCUGAUAUGUUCCCUAUGUGGGGGCCAUGUAUUAAAUAUAUGUUUAGAACAGGAAAAUGGAAGAAGAGAUUGCUCCGUCCACUCCACGCAUUGACUCGGUAUUGCAGUACCUCCGGGACCGGUGCACCUUUC